This 245-nucleotide ribosomal RNA is filed under the name uncultured bacterium. RNAcentral describes it as "partial small subunit ribosomal RNA". It matches the Rfam family "Bacterial small subunit ribosomal RNA", at positions 26 to 285 of the family's 1533-position model. The record is from RNAcentral.
AGAAUCAACGCUGGCGGCGUACCUAACACAUGCAAGUCGAACGAGAAAGUGGAGCAAUCCAUGAGUAAAGUGGCGCACGGGUGAGUAACACGUGACUAACCUACCCUUGAGUGGGGAAUAACCUAGGGAAACCUGGGCUAAUACCGCAUAACACCUACGGGUCAAAGGAGCAAUUCGCUUAAGGAGGGGGUCGCGGCAGAUUAGUUAGUUGGCAGGGUAAUGGCCUACCAAGACGGUGAUCUGUA